This 23-nucleotide microRNA is filed under the name Mus musculus (house mouse). RNAcentral describes it as "Mmu-Mir-217-v2_5p (mature (guide))". Lineage: Eukaryota; Metazoa; Chordata; Mammalia; Rodentia; Muridae. RNAcentral also lists the same sequence under 1 other name. The record is from RNAcentral.
AUACUGCAUCAGGAACUGACUGG